This 497-nucleotide ribosomal RNA is filed under the name uncultured bacterium. Its description in RNAcentral is "partial 16S ribosomal RNA". It matches the Rfam family "Bacterial small subunit ribosomal RNA", at positions 28 to 507 of the family's 1533-position model. The record is from RNAcentral.
GAUGAACGCUGGCGGCGUGCCUAAUACAUGCAAGUCGAGCGAACGGACGAGAAGCUUGCUUCUCUGAUGUUAGCGGCGGACGGGUGAGUAACACGUGGAUAACCUACCUAUAAGACUGGGAUAACUUCGGGACACCGGAGCUAAUACCGGAUAAUAUUUUGAACCGCAUGGUUCAAAAGUGAAAGACGGUCUUGCUGUCACUUAUAGAUGGAUCCGCGCUGCAUUAGCUAGUUGGUAAGGUAACGGCUUACCAAGGCAACGAUGCAUAGCCGACCUGAGAGGGUGAUAGGCCACACGGGAACUGAGACACGGUCCAGACUCCUACGGGAGGCAGCAGUAGGGAAUCUUCCGCAAUGGGCGAAAGCCUGACGGAGCAACGCCGCGUGAGUGAUGAAGGUCUUCGGAUCGUAAAACUCUGUUAUUAGGGAAGAACAUAUGUGUAAGUAACUGUGCACAUCUUGACGGUACCUAAUCAGAAAGCCACGGCUAACUACGUG